This 325-nucleotide ribosomal RNA is filed under the name uncultured bacterium. RNAcentral describes it as "bacterial SSU rRNA". It matches the Rfam family "Bacterial small subunit ribosomal RNA", at positions 28 to 334 of the family's 1533-position model. The record is from RNAcentral.
GACGAACGCUGGCGGCGUGCCUAACACAUGCAAGUCGAACGGGGCUCUUUGGAUCGAGACUUCGGUCAAGUGAAUCUGAGCUUAGUGGCGGACGGGUGAGUAACGCGUGAGCAACCUGCCUUUCAGAGGGGGAUAACAUUUGGAAACAGAUGCUAAUACCGCAUAAGAUUACAGUACCGCAUGAUACAGUGAUCAAAGGAGCAAUCCGCUGAAAGAUGGGCUCGCGUCCGAUUAGCUGGUUGGUGAGGUAACGGCCCACCAAGGCGACGAUCGGUAGCCGGACUGAGAGGUUGAACGGCCACAUUGGGACUGAGACACGGCCCAG